CUCUUAUAGCCACCUCUUUACUCUCAAACAGUGAAGCAUGAAGGACUUUGACAGGAACAGAAUUGAAGACGCAGUUUACAGGGGUUAGAAAGGGAGAAAUUCGGGCCCGGGGCUCUGGAAGGUUGCAAGAUGGCAGUGGAGGGAGGCCUUGGCCGUUUUGCUGACUUUAAGUACUGGUACCCGAAGGAUGUGGUGGGAAAAGAAAGGCAGAGAAGAACCAGAGAGCAGCCUUGGGAUUCAGCACAGCAUUAGCUAAGCUGGCCAGGCAAAACUCUAAAGUGCUCACCGAGACUUCGAGACUUCCCUCUUAUGAAUGUGGUGUGGCUCUCCCAUUUAAGGCGUGUGUGAACCAGCCAAGGACUUGGAGCCCAUGAGAAGGAUGCCAGUCUGACACUUGGAUGGGCAAGGAAUGGCUAUUUGGGGACGCUAAAGAUAGACCAUACCCGCGGCCCUAGGAUUGGAGGAAGAUUCAAGGCCAGUCUAGGCCAGAGACCCUGCCUCAAAACAACAAUAAUGACAACAACAAGACAUCAUGGUAGGCCUGAUGUCCUCGCUCACCUGAAGUCUCGCAGCCACCACGGAGCUUGUCUCUGAGAGCUGGGUGUGCUCUUUACCCAGAGGAUGUGGUGCUCCGAUUCCGGCCCAUCUGCAGCCUUUUGUUCUUUUGUGGAUUCUGGGCUCCCUGUUGCUACAGAGAGAGACAGCCACCCUACAGAAGACCUUGUCUGUGAGUCAGUAAACACUCCCUGACAUCAUGCUGACACACCUACCCACCUGUAUAAUGGGUACACUUCAGCUACAGUAACCUUCCCCCACACUUCCUGGGAGUUACACAUUACUUCUCUGGAAUUUCCUUCUCCUGUAGCCUGACCACAGGCUCAUGCUAUGGAAUCUUACUGCUGUGAGGCCCAGAGAGAAAGAUACACGGUCUCUCAGGCCUGAGCUUCCAUUAGAGACCGGCCAUGCUGUCUGUCUGUCAGUGAUGCUAAGGACUUGACUCUGCUCACAACCCAGGCUAUGCUGGUCUCCACUGGCCUGUUUGUAUGUCUAAGGCAUUCAUUAAAAACUCAUCUAAUAAACUUCUUAGCCAAAA
Rattus rattus (black rat) is the source of this 1093-nucleotide long non-coding RNA. RefSeq lists it as uncharacterized. The transcript is spliced from 3 exons. Lineage: Eukaryota; Metazoa; Chordata; Mammalia; Rodentia; Muridae. The record is from RefSeq and is a predicted model, not a curated record.